GAUGAACGCUGGCGGCGUGCUUAACACAUGCAAGUCGAACGGUGAACACGGAGCUUGCUCUGUGGGAUCAGUGGCGAACGGGUGAGUAACACGUGAGCAACCUGCCCCUGACUCUGGGAUAAGCGCUGGAAACGGCGUCUAAUACUGGAUAUGUGACGUGACCGCAUGGUCUGCGUUUGGAAAGAUUUUUCGGUUGGGGAUGGGCUCGCGGCCUAUCAGCUUGUUGGUGAGGUAAUGGCUCACCAAGGCGUCGACGGGUAGCCGGCCCGAGAGGGUGACCGGCCACACUGGGACUGAGACACGGCCCAGACUCCUACGGGAGGCAGCAGUGGGGAAUAUUGCACAAUGGGCGCAAGCCUGAUGCAGCAACGCCGCGUGAGGGAUGACGGCCUUCGGGUUGUAAACCUCUUUUAGCAGGGAAGAAGCGAAAGUGACGGUACCUGCAGAAAAAGCGCCGGCUAACUACGUG
RNAcentral lists this ribosomal RNA (469 nucleotides) under uncultured bacterium. RNAcentral's name for it is "partial 16S ribosomal RNA". It matches the Rfam family "Bacterial small subunit ribosomal RNA", at positions 28 to 507 of the family's 1533-position model. The record is from RNAcentral.